This 630-nucleotide ribosomal RNA is filed under the name Pouzarella pamiae. RNAcentral describes it as "LSU rRNA". It matches the Rfam family "Eukaryotic large subunit ribosomal RNA", at positions 47 to 658 of the family's 3401-position model. Lineage: Eukaryota; Fungi; Basidiomycota; Agaricomycetes; Agaricales; Entolomataceae. The record is from RNAcentral.
UAAGCGGAGGAAAAGAAACUAACAAGGAUUCCCUUAGUAACUGCGAGUGAAGUGGGAAAAGCUCAAAUUUGAAAUCUGACAGCUUCGCUGUCCGAAUUGUAAUCUAGAGAAGCAUUAUUUGUUCUAGACCAUGUACAAGUCUUCUGGAAUGAAGCGUCACAGAGGGUGAUAAUCCCGUAUCUGACAUGGACUACUAGUGCUUGGUGAUAUGCUCUCAAAGAGUCGAGUUGUUUGGGAAUGCAGCUCUAAAUGGGUGGUAAAUUCCAUCUAAAGCUAAAUAUUGGCGAGAGACCGAUAGCGAACAAGUACCGUGAGGGAAAGAUGAAAAGAACUUUGGAAAGAGAGUUAAACAGUACGUGAAAUUGUUGAAAGGGAAACGCUUGAAGUCAGUCGCAUUAAUUAGAGAUCAAUCUUGCUAAUUCAGCUUGAUGUAUUUUCUGAUUCAAUGGGUCAGCAUCAAUUUUGACUGGUGGAAAAAAAUUAAAAGAAUGUAGCAUUUUUCAGAUGUGUUAUAGCUUUUAAUUAUAUACACUUGUUGAGAUUGAGGAAUUCAGCAUGCCGCAAGGCUGGAUUACAAUCACAUUCAUGCUUAGGAUGCUGGCAAAAUGGCUUUAAUCGACCCGUCUUGAA